CCAAAAAUACAGAUUUCCGAUUGUUAUGAAAACUUGAAAUCGGCCCUAAUUAAUCUCCCAUUCCGAUUAAUCGGUCAACCUCUACUAUAGAGGUGAAAGGAACACCACACACUUUCCCUCUUUCUCAAUUUUUCAAUAAGGUCGAUAAAAAGGGGUAUGCCAGGUGUACUCUGCCUGAAAUAGAUCAUUUAUGCCAGCAAAGGGUCUCAUGCUCUUCUGGCACAUUGUAGAACAGCACAGGUAGACUGUGUACAAUGUAAUAACGUGCAGUGUAGCCCAGAUACUGCCCACCACCAGCAUGUACCCUAGUCUACUUGAUGGCUCAGCGAUACACAAAUUGGCUUAAUUAUUUACUAACGAAAUAAUCACACAGAAUUACAUGAACACAGAGGAUAGAUUAUACGUUCAUUACUAACAUAAUGCAAUGAAAAGUCCCUAGUGUACUAAACCGAUAUGACAGCUUGUUACACGAUGAAAAGGGGUGGGGAAAGAAAGAGCGGGAGAAGGAGAGACAAAUUAAUUAAACUAUCGUACGUACAGUGGAAUAAUACGCUCAUCGUCAGUAUGGAUAUUUGGCAGCCUACUAACAUCUCAUUCGGAUUUGGAAAUGCAAUGUACAUAAUUACACUUGUAUGUCUGUCUUUUUCUGUUGAAAUUGCCUGAUCCUUGGAACAGUCUAGGCAACAAAUUAAAUUGGAUUGCUUUCUUACAUUUUUUUUAGCUGUGAGUUAGGUUCACAUGAACCACUUUAUUUUGCACACAGAGACUGAUCAUGUAGAUCAUAUUCUAUUCUUGAUCAUAUGUUGUUUAAUGAGUUGAAACCUGCAUUUCACCCUGCAGGGAUUCUUUGCAUGUUUCAGUGCAAAACAAAAUGCCACCUUUUUGGUCCCACCAGUUUGCAUCCCUGAUAUUUAUGCUUGUAUGUCUGUUGUCUUUCUCUGUUGAAAUCGCCCGAUCCGUCUGUUACGAAAAAUUUGACAGAAAGUCUCUGGUUGUGUAAGUCUCUGGUUGUCCACCAAAGAUCACCAUGUCCUUACGCCAGUAGCAACCCUGCCACCGCUCCAUGUUUUCUGGUCUAAUGUCAAUUUUGUUAGGAGUCCUUUAUAAGCACUCUGGAAAAAGGGCGUUCCAUCGUUUUGGCAUGUCUGUGCUCAUGUGGGCAUGGUUACUGACUGGGUGAAACAAUUAUCUCAUUUCGAAGGCUAAAAUCACAUUUCAUCUUCUCACAAAUAGUUUCAUAUUUAAUUAUCUAAGUUUUACAACAUUUAGAUGUAACUCUGACAUACAUUGGAAACUCUUAGUUACAAUGUUUCCGUUAUAACGUCUUUAAUGAUAUCACCAAACAAUAAAUGCUUACAUGAUUGUUCUUUAAGUCCCUCCUGACCAUUUCCCACAUUCUUUGUGUUAGGAAUGUUGUUUCAUUAUCCACUUUUGGAUGUUGUAGUUUUAGCGGGAAGAAUCUGCUUGUAACAAAGGGUUAUUUCCCUUCAAUACUGCAUGGCCAGGGAGAGACAGUUCCUGCAAGGUAUUUAUGACCGUCAUAAAACUGGCCAACUCCCCCAGGAGAGGGGGGUCUUGAGAAACAUUUGUUUAGCCGGCACCUUUGAUCCAGGAGGACAAGUCAUGACAUAGGCUGUGGUCCUUGGUGUCCUAGCAGAGCAUUCCCUCCCCUUUGCUAUUGCUCCAGUAAUUGUUGAGCUAGUGCAAAAUCUUGCCGUUAACAAGGUGGCUUUGGAGAGGAUGAAGCUCUCGAGAACAGCGGCAUCCGACAAGAUGGUCAAUGGCCUAGGGCGGACCUUCUCCGAAAGGACCUUCUCAUACCUGAGGUUUCCUUUUUCUUUGAACUUGGAUGAGAGCACAUCUAACAGCAACAAAAAGGUUGUUCUCAUAUUUAAUUAUUGUUAUCUUAUCAAUUUGGCAUUCUAUUCACUCUAUUUGCACUACUUGUAUCUUGUUUUAAUCUUAUCUUACACUUUUGGAGAGCUCAAGUAGAACGCAUUUAAUUGUCCAGUCAACAUCUGUUUACUGUGUAUUUGACAAAAUAACUGAUUUUGUUUGAUUUGAUUUUUGAAGGUCCUCUCCGUGCUGGUAAGCUACUACCAUGAUGACAUGGGAAAGGUGGUGGUGGAGUACUGGAGGUCAUAAAGGUGAAUGCCGUCAGCUUGGACAGCGUGCUCUGCAACUUCUUCAACCAUAACAUUCUUGUAGCAUCAUGAGAGGUAGCAAGACCGGCAUCGAGACAAGGAUCCUUCCAACCCUGCUCGACAUUGAUGGAGUCUCCUGUCAUCACAUCCACAAUGCAGCAAAGAAGUUUGCAGAGCCCUUCGACCACCACCUUGAGCAGCUCUUCAAUGAUCAGCACACUGAUCAUCAGCGGUCUCCAUAUCAAUGAUGUACCUCAAGGUUAUAUGCCGGUACCUGAACAUCCCUGCCUCCAAUCCUCAGAGGUUUGUGCCCCAUCGCUGGCUGUCUGCAUAUGAUGUCAGCAUUUCGACACACAGAAUGCUGUACUAUGGAUUCCCGAGCAACGAAGACCAGGAGCUGUAAUAGGACCCACUAGAACACAUUUAUAAAAAAGACCACGCGAGCGAGAAGGCACAAGCCUUUGCAUGAGCACCUCAACAGAAAAGGUAUAACACAGCAAGGAAAAUACAGAAAGAAGAGUGACCAGGAAGGUGUGGCAUGAGGUCACUACAACUGACCUACAACUCAGCAUUUACGUGGGUGUACUGCCUAUCCUGAUGGAACACGUAAUGGUUUCCCAGGGUAGCCAGAUGUUGGUACAUAUGCUCCACGACAAGCAGCUUGAAACCUUUCAAUGCUGAAUACAUCACAAAAGUGUCACCCAAGACUAUGGGAGUGAUGGUACUUAAGGAGAAGAUGCAUGUGGGGCGGGAAGCAGAUGGAUUCAGAACCAGGAAUCCGAAUCAUGCUCUGCUGAAGUCUUUCAUGGAGAAGGUCACCAAAGCCUUGCAAAGUCACACACUGAGGUCACUGUCUGCUCUGGACCCGAUUUUGAGAGGCCACUCGCAGGUCGCGAUCCAGUUGAAGAAGCUGAGCGCAAUGUUGGGCCACCUCUCACCUGCCAACAGUGAUCUCCACCAGGAGAUAAUGCGAUACAACGUUGAUUCAUUCCUGGCCAGCUUCACGGAGGGAGAUGAGAUGGGCUCAUGUCUUGGCCCAGACAUUGUAUCCAGCCCUGGGUAAUGUGGUGAAAGGUGCCCUCUCUGUCUUUCAUGGUCCCAGGGUUGAAUCUUCAUUUAGCUGGAUGAACGACAUCAUUAAUACAUGAAGCACCAACAUGAACAUCUCAACUUUCAAUGCAAUACAGACUGUGAACUACACCUUGCAGACCAUGCAGAAGACCGCAGUGGAGAUGUUUAAACGGGAGGAUGCAAGGUUUGGAUAGGUGAACUGAAGGUUCUGCAGAAACAUCAGGUCUGCAGGAACAGUAGACAAGACCCAGUGGCAGCGGAGUCUGCUGGAAGCCCGAAGAUUAUAUCUCGGGUAUGGCUGUUAGCCAUCUGGAAGUGCUCAGGAGAGCAAGACGGCCGCAGCUGAAGAGGACAAGAGGGCAAGGCUCAAACAUGCCUCAAAAACAGAGCAAGAGGGCACUUGAAAUACUUAUCCGGGUUAUGAAAAAGAAGUAGGGACAAACCCUCUACCCAGCCCUCUCCUUCCCUCCAGUCCUCUCCUUCCCUCCAGUCCUCUCCCUUUGUCAAAUAAAUCUCACAUUGUUUCUGGCCUAGGACGCAGCAUCAGAGGCCUGUUUUCUGCCACCAUUUACCUUAAUUUGAUGGGCUAUGUUUUUAUGUUUGUAAUACAGAUAUUUUUUUAAAGAAAGUGUUGUGAAAAUGUAUGUGGGUAUAGGAAAGAGUUCUAUUUGGGUUUCGUUUAACUUUCCCUCAGAAAUGUUCAGAUCUGUUGGACAAUGCAGCAUCAGAGGGACUUGUUCCUGAAAACUGGAUCAAUGAGUUAACUAGCUAAAUUUCCAGAUUAUCUUGAAAUAACUCCUUCCUUUGAGAAAAUAUUGACCUAAAAUGUAUGUGGUAUUAUAUUGACUCGACUACAUAAACCAGUAUGAAAUAUUAAUGUAUUGUUUAUUUUGUGGACUUGUGCAGUAAAGUAUGUGCAUGUGCAGUAAAGUAUGGCAACAAAUAA
Molecule: long non-coding RNA, 4161 nt
Organism: Oncorhynchus gorbuscha (pink salmon)
Lineage: Eukaryota; Metazoa; Chordata; Actinopteri; Salmoniformes; Salmonidae
Exons: 5
Source: RefSeq, a predicted model, not a curated record